Molecule: ribosomal RNA, 469 nt
Filed under: uncultured bacterium
Lineage: Bacteria
Description: bacterial SSU rRNA
Rfam family: Bacterial small subunit ribosomal RNA
Source: RNAcentral
GAUGAACGCUGGCGGCGUGCUUAACACAUGCAAGUCAUGGGGGCCCAGCAAUGGGCAACCGGCGAACGGGUGCGUAACACGUGAGCAACCUACCCAGGUGUGGGGGGUAGCCGUCCAACGGACGGGUAAUACCGCAUACGCUCUUCUUUAGGCAUUUAGAGAAGAGGAAACCUUCGGGGCACCAUGAGGGGCUCGCGGCCUAUCAGCUAGUUGGCGAGGUAACGGCUCACCAAGGCUACGACGGGUAGCUGGUCUGAGAGGAUGGCCAGCCACAUUGGGACUGAGAAACGGCCCAGACUCCUACGGGAGGCAGCAGUGGGGAAUCUUGCGCAAUGGCCUAACGGCUGACGCAGCGACGCCGCGUGAGGGAUGACGCUCUUCGGAGUGUAAACCUCUUUUGACCGGAACGAAUUGCCACCUUCAGGUGGCUUGACGGUACCGGUUGAAUAAGCACCGGCUAACUCCGUGC